UCAGAAAAGCCUUUCAGCUGCUCUCAGUGUGGAAACACUUUCAUGACCAAUGAAAACCUUAAGGAUCACAUGCUAAUUUAUGCUGAAAUAAAGCCUUAUACCUGCUCUCUGUGUGGAAAGAGUUUUACACAGAGAGGACACCUUAGAAAUCAUUUGUUAAGUCACAGUUCAGAAAAGCCUUUCAGCUGCUCUCAAUGUGGAAAGUCUUUCAAACAAAAACAAAGCCUUAUGAAUCACGUGAGAAUCCAUAGUGGGGAGAAAACCUUUCAGCUGUUUUUGGUGUGGAAACCCUUUCAUGUGUAGCGAAAACCUUAAGAAUCGCAUGCGAAUUCAUGCUGGAUUUAAGACUUUUACCUGCUCUCCUUGUGGAAGGAGUUUUACACAGAAAGGAUACCUUGAGACUCAAGUUAAGUCAUGCUGGUUAAAAGCCUUUCAGCUACUCUGUGUGGAAAGUCUUUCACAUAUAAAGGAUAUCUUAUGAAACACAUGAAAAUCCAAAGUGGGGAGAAGCCUUUCAGCUGUAAACAGGGAUUUAAUCAUCACAUGAGAAUUCACACUACAGCGAUGCCUUACCAGACAAUUCAUAAAAUUUAAAAGCCUCACGUCGGUCUUGUUUGUGGAUGAUUUCUGUAACUUAAUUUUAAUGUGUACAUUGGUUCCACACGGACAGAAUGUGGAAAACUGGCUUUAAUUGUCCUCUUUUUCUCAAAUAAUUAUAGCUUGUCAAACUAAAAUUAAUUAAUUCAAAUUAGACUACUUAAUAGUCAUGUUGAUUCAAGAUAUUAUUUGUCAUUAUUGUAAAACAAAUGUAUUAUGUCCCAUUAAAGUGAUUUCAUAAUUUCAUCAUGUCUCUGGUACCAGAGUUGUGUAAACUGAACUUGCUUCAAGUAAGCUCCCUCCAAAUGUACUGUAGACAUUUUCAAAUAUGUGUGUGUAAAUACAAAAUCAUGAGUUUAAAAAUAAAUAUUGCCAUUUGCAAGUGUUGGUAGUUAAGUUUUGUUGUAUUUUGGUAUUGAAUUGAUUACAAAGAGGAAUUAAAACAAAAACACUUUAAAUGCUUCAUCAUAGUGUAUUCAAACACAACGUCAUGAUGCAAACAACACGGUUGUUUUCAGAAUAUAUUCACAAAACUGAUGUAAAUUCUGCAUUGAAGUGAAUGAGUGAAGUGAUGUGUUGCUAAGUACAGGUGUUUCUCAAUUAAUUUGAAUGUCAUGAAAAAUUAUUUUAUUUCAGUAAUUCAACUCAAAUUGUGAAACUGGUGUAUUAAAUAAAUUCAAUGCACA
Molecule: long non-coding RNA, 1283 nt
Organism: Carassius carassius (crucian carp)
Lineage: Eukaryota; Metazoa; Chordata; Actinopteri; Cypriniformes; Cyprinidae
Exons: 2
Source: RefSeq, a predicted model, not a curated record